AUUGAACGCUGGCGGCAGGCCUAACACAUGCAAGUCGAACGAGUGGCGGACGGGUGAGUAAUGUCUGGGAAACUGCCCGAUGGAGGGGGAUAACUACUGGAACCGGUAGCUAAUACCGCGUACCAUCGGCUGUGCCCAGAUGGGAUUAGCUUGUAGGUGAGGUAACGGCUCACCUAGGCGACGAUCCCUAGCUGGUCUGCGAGGAUGACCAGCAAAACUGAAACUGAGACAAGGGCCAGAAUCCGACGUGAGGCAGCAGGGGGGAAGAGUGCACAAUGGGCGCAAGCCUGAUGCAGCCAUGCCGAGUGGAUGAAGAAGGUCUGAGGGUUGUAAAGUAUGUUCAGCGGGGAGGCGUUACCCGCAGAAGAAGCACCGGCGAACUCCGUGCCAGCAGCCGCGGUAAUUC
RNAcentral lists this ribosomal RNA (406 nucleotides) under uncultured bacterium. RNAcentral's name for it is "partial 16S ribosomal RNA". It matches the Rfam family "Bacterial small subunit ribosomal RNA", at positions 29 to 526 of the family's 1533-position model. The record is from RNAcentral.